Molecule: long non-coding RNA, 542 nt
Organism: Cornus florida
Lineage: Eukaryota; Viridiplantae; Streptophyta; Magnoliopsida; Cornales; Cornaceae
Exons: 3
Source: RefSeq, a predicted model, not a curated record
UAGGUUCCUUACUUCCUUUACUCCCAUUCUCAGUCCGCCUCUCCUAACUUUCCAAAAAAAAAAAGUCCGCCUCCCCUCUUCUCAGUUUCCAUCGCCCUUUGUUCCAGAUCGGAUUCGCCGUUCGCGAGCUUCAGCCACUGCCCGACUGUCUCUCAACUCUCAAGCUAUGGAUUGAUUCAAGGAAAGAGAGAAGAAAGAGCGAAUUCAGAUUGUCAUAAGAAAGCUCUCUCUCUCUCUCUCCAACUGCUAACUUAUUGUUCAAAAAAUCAAAACCCAUAUCUUUCAGUUUCCAGAUCCAGAUCUCCAACCCCUAAUCGUCGUCGUCCUCUGUCCUGCCGUCCUUCGUCAUCGUCUGCUGUCACAUCGGAAUGAGGAACAUGGAGAUUGGAGGAUGAAUGUUGAGCAGCAUGGAGAUUGAGAGGAGCAUGGAGUUAGACCUACAAUUUUUUAUGUUGUUUUGCAAUGUUAUUAUUAAUGUUGUUAUGAGGAUUUGUUUUGGACUUAUUUAUUACUAAGGCAACAUAUUGAUAUUAUUGUCAAAA